This 908-nucleotide non-coding RNA is filed under the name Moricella rufonota. The record is from RNAcentral. Lineage: Eukaryota; Metazoa; Arthropoda; Insecta; Hymenoptera; Tenthredinidae.
AAAUAUUUUAUAAACAAUAUGUAAAGAUUUUUAAAAUCUAUUAGAUAUAGAAGGGUUCUAUUUAUAGGAUUAAAUUAUAUUAAUUUUAUAUAUAAUUUAAAUAAUUAUAAAAUUUAAAGUUUGAUUUUAGCUUUUAUAUUUACUUUAUAAAUUUUUUGCAUGUAAAUUUUUGUAUGAAUAUUUUUUAUUUUAAAAAUAUAAAAUUUUUUAAUUAUUUGCAGCAUUUAAUUUUAAUAAUUAAUGAAAAUUAGAAUUAUAAUUUAUAUUUAGUAUGAGCCAAAUAUGUGCCAGCAGCUGCGGUUAUACAUUUUAUGUAAGUAAAUAUUAUUUAAUUUUUAAUAUAUAAUAUAAUAUAAAUUUUUAAUAAUAAAAUAAAAAUUUAAGUGAAAUUUUUUUUUAUUAAUAUUUAUAAAUUAUUUUUUUUUAUAUUAUGAAAUCUUAAUUUUAAACUAGGAUUAGAUACCCUAUUAUUUAAGAUGUAAAAUUUUUAAAGGAUUAAUAGUUAUGUUCUUUAAACUUAAAAGAAUUGGCGGUAUUUAAAACUAAUUAGGGGAAUUUGUUUUUAAAAUGAUAAUCCGCAAGAAACCUUACUUUAAUUUAUUUAAUUUAUUUAUUGCCGUUAACAGAUUAUUUUAUAAGAAUAAUAAAAUUUUCAAAAAUUUUUAUAUAAAUAUAUUUCAGGUCAUUAUGUAGUUUAUAUUAAAGUUAAAAUGAGUUACAAUAAAAUUAAUUUAAAUGGAAAUUUAAUUGAAAUUAUUAAUUUGAAAGUGGACUUAAUAGUAAAAUAAAAUUUAUUACAUUUAUUUGAAUUUAGAAUUAAAUAUGUACAUAUCGCCCGUCACUCUCAUUUUAAGAUGAGAUAAGUCGUAACAAAGUAGAUAUACUGGAAAGUGUUUCUAGAAAGUUUU